GCUCUUAAACUCAUCUGCUGUGUGAUCCCUCUAAAAAAUCGGCCCACCAGUCAUCACCUUGUAACGUGCGAGGCUGCAUUCACUCCCCUACUUUCGGCGUUUCUCCCUCUCCGCUUGCGCAAUGUAUUAAUGAAGAACCGUAAAGUGUUAAAUGUUUGAAAUACAAAACCGCCGAAUUCCACAUGCUGAAAAAGGACUCCGCUACUCGUGCGCGCGGCACUGGUGUGUCUGUGCAAUAGACUCUGCAAAGAAAAACUACUCUCGCACGCCUGCAAGUCCGCGGCUGCAAAAAGGACGCUUAAACCCUCAUUUUUCAGUUUCAAGACAAACGCUUAAAAAUCAAACUGGCUCACGUUCUUUCCAACCAACCCAGUUUGACAGCUGCUCUUCACCCCACUUGGAGGACUGUCAGCAGCAAGAGGAUGGCAUCAGAGCUGGCAAUGAGCAACUCCGACCUGCCCACCAGUCCCCUGGCCAUGGAAUAUGUUAAUGACUUCGAUCUGAUGAAGUUUGAAGUGAAAAAGGAGCCGGUGGAGCCCGAUCGCAACAUCAGCCAGUGCAGUCGCCUUAUCGCCGGGGGAUCCUUGUCUUCCACCCCGAUGAGCACGCCGUGCAGCUCGGUGCCCCCUUCCCCAAGCUUCUCGGCGCCCAGUCCGGGCUCGGGGAGCGAGCAGAAGACACACAUAGAGGAUUUCUACUGGAUGUCCGGUUAUCAACAGCAGUUGAAUCCAGAGGCGCUGGGCUUCAGCCCCGAAGACGCAGUCGAGGCGCUGAUCAACAGCAGUCACCAGCUCCAGUCGUUCGAUGGCUAUGCCAGGGGCCAGCAGUUCGCUGGCGCAGCCGGAGCAGGGGGCACCAUGGCCGGGGAAGAGAUGGGGUCCGCAGCGGCGGUGGUGUCGGCAGUUAUCGCUGCUGCAGCCGCUCAGAACGGAGGGCAACACCACCACCAUCACCACCACCACCACAGCAACAGCCACCACCAAGCACCUGGCGUCCAGUCCAACGGCACUUCUGGGACAAUUCACCCUCACAUGCGCUUGGAUGACCGUUUUUCAGACGACCAGCUGGUCAGCAUGUCAGUGCGGGAGCUCAACCGGCAGCUACGGGGGGUCAGCAAGGAAGAAGUGAUCAGAUUGAAACAGAAGAGGAGGACCCUAAAGAACAGAGGCUACGCGCAGUCCUGCCGGUUCAAGCGGGUCCAGCAGCGGCACGUCCUAGAGGGAGAGAAGACGCAACUCGUCCAGCAGGUCGAUCACCUAAAGCAGGAGAUCUCCAGGCUGGUCCGGGAGAGGGACGCGUACAAAGAAAAGUAUGAGAAGCUCAUCAGCAACGGCUUCAGAGAAAAUGGAUCCAGCAGUGACAACAACCCUUCAUCCCCGGAGUUUUUCAUGUCAUCCAGAAAAUUCCUCCAUCUGUGAUUUCAAGCCCCAAUCGUCCGUGCCCUUGGCUCUCUGAGGCAGGCACACCUCAGGGGUUCGCCAUGCAAAGACACACUGGAGUUCAGAGCCGUGCAGGGAGUUGAAGGACCCAGAAUAUGCUGACAAAGAUAAAACACCAGAUAACCCAAUGACUGAGCAGUGAUGACAUCAGACCGGCUGACCAAUUGCACGAAGACACCUACAAAGCACAACGUUCAAAAAUAACACUGAAGAACAAAAGACAAGACCCGCUGAAAGUCCUACAGUGAAAUUCUUGAAAGCCUCUUACUACUCCUGAUUCUCUCCCUAAUAUUUUACCUCCAGCUUUUUUCUACAAAACACGAAAGAAAAAAAAAAGACUCAUACUCCUGAGAUGGUUGACAAUGUCAGAUAAAUACACUGGAAGGACUAUUUUCUCUUCGGAGGGAAGAUCAUUAAUGCAUGCCUCUGUAAAUAGAUCAUAAUAAAACCCAAUUCUUAUUCCUAGUAUAGGAAACAUAACAAGUCGUUCUCAUCAACUUCACAAAUCUUCAUGUCUGUGGAUUGAGUACUCAUGGUUCAAUAUUUUCCAUAUAAAAUAGGUAUUCUUCUUAUCUCCUCAGAGACCAUGUACUUAUUGUUUCCAAUAUCAUUUCUCUACUCUUUGGAGUUAUUUGGACUGUAAAAAGUGUACUUCCUAAUCUUCUUAUUCUCUUAACAUAACAGCCUAGUCUUCCUUUCCAAUAUCCACACUAGAACAUGUAAAUAGAGAUGAAUGAGGACAACAGCAUGGAACAGACUUUAGUGUAUAUUUACCACUCCCCUAGUAGAUCACAAAUCGCAAUAUGUGGAUAUUUCAGUUAACCAUUUUAAAAGUUUUAAAUACUUGAACUUAUUUUCUGAUAGUUAAGACAUAGUCCUAGGUAUCUUGACUUUUCCUAUGUAUUUAAAUAGAUGCAUAAAGGCAUUAGCUAUAGGUAAUUAUAUUAUUUGACUACCUUAGGGCCUUAGGGUAGUCAAAGGCAGCAAUCCAUUUGGUAUCAUCAAUCAGUUCCAUCAGUUAACAAAUGGUCAAAAUGAA
Etheostoma cragini (Arkansas darter) is the source of this 2478-nucleotide RNA transcript. It is a transcript of the gene named v-maf avian musculoaponeurotic fibrosarcoma oncogene homolog a (paralog a), with no coding region annotated. The record is from RefSeq and is a predicted model, not a curated record. The transcript has 4 exons. Lineage: Eukaryota; Metazoa; Chordata; Actinopteri; Perciformes; Percidae.